This 671-nucleotide long non-coding RNA is filed under the name Mustela putorius furo (domestic ferret). Its description in RNAcentral is "lncRNA (ENSMPUG00000030773.1)". The record is from RNAcentral. Lineage: Eukaryota; Metazoa; Chordata; Mammalia; Carnivora; Mustelidae.
AUGGGUCAAAGGUCAAGGUUAGAGUUCUGUCCAUUAGAGAGGCAGGGGGCGGCCAGGGGAGGGGAUGGGGAAUUCAGAGGGAGCCUGCUGUUUGGUGAUGAGGCUCUUCUCCAGCGGGCGUGCAGCCUCUGGGGGAGGGCAGAGAAGCUAGAGGUACCAACCGCCUCCAGCAAGCCGUCCCGCCACCCCCCUGCUUGGCCAGGCCCUGGCCAGGCAGGGGCUGCAGGGAGCCGGGCCUCCCCUCCCGAGUCUGUUCCUCGCCUGCCAGCUUCGCUAGGUACCCAGGGAAGCCUGUUCUGUUUCUCAUUCAGAGCCAGAGGGAGGUCCCUUUACUCCCACUUUACAGAAGCGGGUAGUCAAGGCUUGGAGAAGCACUUGAGCUCUUUCCAGAUACCAGCACCCUCCCCUAGCACACAAAGAGAAGAGCCUUUGGCCUGUUACUCAGAGUGUACGUGGGGUCACGUGUCCAGUGGGGAAGGUAGCCUCUUGAGAAAGGGGAGCAGGGAGAUGGGCUGUGAGCCUCAGGACACACUAGUGACAGAGGGGACCAUCCACACUGGGUACCUUGGCCUCUUAGAAUGAAAGUGGCGCUGCUUGGGGUGGGGAGAAUUGUUUUUUUUUUUUUAAAGAUUUAUUUAUUUGACCGAGAGAGAUCACAAGUAGACAGAGAG